GACGAACCGAGCGAACGUUGUUCGGAAUCACUGGGCUUAAAGGGCGCGUAGGCGGGUGCUCAAGUCCGGGGUGAAAUCCUCCAGCUCAACUGGAGAACUGCCUCGGAUACUGGGUGUCUCGAGUGUGGUAGGGGUAUGCGGAACUAUCGGUGGAGCGGUGAAAUGCGUUGAUAUCGAUAGGAACUCCGGUGGCGAAGGCGGCAUACUGGACCACUUCUGACGCUGAGGCGCGAAAGCCAGGGGAGCAAACGGG
This 253-nucleotide ribosomal RNA is filed under the name uncultured bacterium. Its description in RNAcentral is "partial 16S ribosomal RNA". It matches the Rfam family "Bacterial small subunit ribosomal RNA", at positions 524 to 776 of the family's 1533-position model. The record is from RNAcentral.